UUCCGGUUGAUCCUGCCGGAGAUCACUGCUAUUGGGAUUCGACUAAGCCAUGCGAGUCGAGAGGGUUCGGCCCUCGGCUGACGGCUCAGUAACACGUGGAUAAUCUGCCCUUAGGUGGAGGAUAAUCUCGGGAAACUGAGGAUAAUACUCCAUAGAUCUAGGAUGCUGGAAUGCAUCUAGAUUGAAAGCUCCGGCGCCUAAGGAUGAGUCUGCGGACUAUCAGGUUGUAGUCAGGGUAAAGACCUGACUAGCCUACGACGGAUACGGGUUGUGAGAGCAAUAACUCGGAGACGAUAUCUGAGACACGAUAUCGGGCCCUACGGGGCGCAGCAGGCGCGAAAACUUCACACUGUGCGAAAGCACGAUGAGGGAAUCCCAAGUGUUUGCUCGUAAGAGUAAACUGUUUCUUUGUUUAAAACGCAGAGAGAGUAAGGGCUGGGUAAGACGGGUGCCAGCCGCCGCGGUAAUACCUGCAGCUCAAGUGGUGAUCAUUAUUAUUGGGCCUAAAACGUCCGUAGCCUGUUUAGUAAAUGCCUGGGUAAAUCGUGUAGCUUAACUAUGCGACUUCCGGGUAGACUACUAAACUUGAGACCGGGAGAGGCUAGAGGUACUCCUGGGGUAGAGGUGAAAUUCUGUAAUCCUAGGGGGACCACCAGUGGCGAAGGCGUCUAGCUAGAACGGGUCUGACGGUGAGGGACGAAGCCCUGGGGCACAAACCGGAUUAGAUACCCGGGUAGUCCAGGGUGUAAACGCUGCUUGCUUGAUGUUAGUUGGGCUCCGAGCCCAAUUAGUGUCGGAGAGAAGUUGUUAAGCAAGCUGCCUGGGAAGUACGGUCGCAAGGCUGAAACUUAAAGGAAUUGGCGGGGGAGCACAGCAACGGGUGGAGCGUGCGGUUUAAUUGGAUUCAAC
Molecule: ribosomal RNA, 909 nt
Filed under: uncultured archaeon
Lineage: Archaea
Description: bacterial SSU rRNA
Rfam family: Archaeal small subunit ribosomal RNA
Source: RNAcentral